This is a non-coding RNA of Megalops atlanticus (tarpon), 72 nucleotides long. The record is from the annotation of a GenBank genome assembly. Lineage: Eukaryota; Metazoa; Chordata; Actinopteri; Elopiformes; Megalopidae.
GGAGCAGUGGCCAAGUGGUAAGGCAUUGGUCUCGUAAACUGAAGAUCACGGGUUUGAACCCUGUCUGUGCCU